CUUGUCGAGGCAGAGUUGUGGSUUAAACCCCCGCGUGUCUUG
RNAcentral lists this transfer RNA (42 nucleotides) under Odontesthes argentinensis. RNAcentral describes it as "partial tRNA-Asp". Lineage: Eukaryota; Metazoa; Chordata; Actinopteri; Atheriniformes; Atherinopsidae. The record is from RNAcentral.